UACGGGGGGGGCAAGCGUUGUUCGGAAUUACUGGGCGUAAAGGGCUCGUAGGCGGCCAACUAAGUCAGACGUGAAAUCCCUAGGCUCAACCUAGGAACUGCGUCUGAUACUGGAUGGCUUGAAUCCGGGAGAGGGAUGCAGAAUUCCAGGUGUAGCGGUGAAAUGCGUAGAGAUCCGGAGGAAUACCAGAGGCGAAGGCGGCACCCUGGGUCUGACCUGACGCUGAUCCGCGACAGCAUGGGGAGCGAACGGG
Molecule: ribosomal RNA, 253 nt
Filed under: uncultured bacterium
Lineage: Bacteria
Description: partial 16S ribosomal RNA
Rfam family: Bacterial small subunit ribosomal RNA
Source: RNAcentral